Molecule: ribosomal RNA, 504 nt
Filed under: uncultured bacterium
Lineage: Bacteria
Description: partial 16S ribosomal RNA
Rfam family: Bacterial small subunit ribosomal RNA
Source: RNAcentral
AUUGAACGCUGGCGGCAGGCCUAACACAUGCAAGUCGAGCGGUAGCACAGAGAGCUUGCUCUCGGGUGACGAGCGGCGGACGGGUGAGUAAUGUCUGGGAAACUGCCUGAUGGAGGGGGAUAACUACUGGAAACGGUAGCUAAUACCGCAUAACGUCGCAAGACCAAAGUGGGGGACCUUCGGGCCUCAUGCCAUCAGAUGUGCCCAGAUGGGAUUAGCUAGUAGGUGGGGUAACGGCUCACCUAGGCGACGAUCCCUAGCUGGUCUGAGGGGAUGACCAGCCAAACUGGAACUGAGAGACGGUCCAGGCUCCUACGGGAGGCAGCAGUGGGGAAUAUUGCACAAUGGGCGCAAGCCUGAUGCAGCCAUGCCGCGUGUGUGAAGAAGGCCUUCGGGUUGUAAAGCACUUUCAGCGGGGAGGAAGGCGGUGAGGUUAAUAACCUCACCGAUUGACGUUAACCGCAGAAGAAGCACCGGCUAACUCCGUGCCAGCAGCCGCCGUAA